GGGACUAUGCCUGGCCAGGACGAAGUCAGGGGAAACCCUGAUGGAGGUCCGUAGCGAUUCUGACGUGCAAAUCGAUCGUCAGAGCUGGGUAUAGGGGCGAAAGACUAAUCGAACCAUCUAGUAGCUGGUUCCCUCCGAAGUUUCCCUCAGGAUAGCUGGCGCUCGCUGACGAGUCCCAUCCGGUAAAGCGAAUGAUUAGAGGCCUUGGGGUCGAAACGACUUCAACCUAUUCUCAAACUUUAAAUGGGUGGGAACCGCGGCUUGCUUGAAAGCUGAAGCUCGCGGUGUUUCGGAUCGGAGUGCCAAGUGGGCCAUUUUUGGUAAGCAGAACUGGCGCUGUGGGAUGAACCAAACGCCGGGUUAAGGCGCCCGAACGGAUGCUCAUUGGACACCAUGAAAGGUGUUGGUUGCUUAAGACAGCAGGACGGUGGCCAUGGAAGUCGGAAUCCGCUAAGGAGUGUGUAACAACUCACCUGCCGAAGCAACUAGCCCUGAAAAUGGAUGGCGCUGAAGCGUCCUGCCUAUACCCGGCCGCCGGGGCAGAGGGAGGGCGAUCAUGUCGUCCUUCGCAAGGCCCCGGCGAGUAGGAGGGUCGCGGCGGAGUGCGCAGAAGGGUCUGGGCGUGAGCCUGCCUGGAGCCUCCGUCGGUGCAGAUCUUGGUGGUAGUAGCAAAUACUCCAGCGAGGCCCUGGAGGACUGAUGUGGAGAAGGGUUCCGUGUGAACAGCCGUUGCACACGGGUCAGUCGAUCCUAAGCCCUAGGAGAAAUCCGAUGUUGAUGGUCGCGGGAUGAAAGCAUUUUGUGUWAGUACACCCCGUCCGUCGGGCGAAAGGGAAUCCGUUUCCUAUUACGGAACCCGGUUGCGGAACCGCACUCACGAUCCUCGUAUUGACACGGUAACGUGAAGGACCCCAGAGACGCCGUCUGGAGCCCCGGGAAGAGUUUUCUUUUCUGCAUAAGCGUUCGGGUUCCAUGGAAUCCUCUCGCAGGGAGAUAUGGAAUGGAGCGCGAAGAGCACCGCAGUUGCUGCGGUGUCCGGGGAUUCCCGUCGGCCCUUGAAAAUCUGGGUGAGGGUCACGUGGAGGCGUCGCACCGGCUCGUACCCAUAUCCGCAGCAGGUCUCCAAGGUCAAGAGCCUCUAGUCGAUAGACUAAUGUAGGUAAGGGGAAAGUCAA
Molecule: ribosomal RNA, 1175 nt
Filed under: Tricorythodes sp. BYU IGCEP010
Lineage: Eukaryota; Metazoa; Arthropoda; Insecta; Ephemeroptera; Leptohyphidae
Description: partial 28S ribosomal RNA
Rfam family: Eukaryotic large subunit ribosomal RNA
Source: RNAcentral